CCGGGUGAGUAACACGUGACUACCUACCCUUGAGUGGGGGAUAACCUCGGGAAACCGAGGCUAAUACCGCAUAAUAUCGAAAGAUCAAAGGAGUAAUCCGCUUUUGGAGGGGGUCGCGGCUGAUUAGCUAGUUGGCGGGGUAACGGCCCACCAAGGCGAAGAUCGGUAUCCGGCCUGAGAGGGCGCACGGACACACUGGAACUGAAACACGGUCCAGACUCCUACGGGAGGCAGCAGUGGGGAAUUUUGCGCAAUGGGGGAAACCCUGACGCAGCAACGCCGCGUGGAGGAUGAAGUCCCUUGGGACGUAAACUCCUUUCGACCAAGACGAUAAUGACGGUACUGGUGGAAGAAGCACCGGCUAACUCUGUGCCAGCAGCCGCGG
RNAcentral lists this ribosomal RNA (385 nucleotides) under uncultured bacterium. RNAcentral's name for it is "bacterial SSU rRNA". It matches the Rfam family "Bacterial small subunit ribosomal RNA", at positions 100 to 520 of the family's 1533-position model. The record is from RNAcentral.